UCGAGAAUCUUCGGCAAUGGGCGCAAGCCUGACCGAGCGACGCUGCGUGCGGGAUGAAGGCCCUUGGGUUGUAAACCGCUGUCAGAGGGGAUCAAAGCGCAAGCUUGAGAGAGCCUCAGAGGAAGCGCGGGCUAAGUUCGUGCCAGCAGCCGCGGUAAUACGAACUGCGCGAACGUUAUUCGGAAUCACUGGGCUUACAGGGUGCGUAGGCGGCCCGUCAGGUCCGAUGUGAAAUCCCCCGGCUCAACCG
This 250-nucleotide ribosomal RNA is filed under the name uncultured bacterium. RNAcentral describes it as "partial 16S ribosomal RNA". It matches the Rfam family "Bacterial small subunit ribosomal RNA", at positions 355 to 615 of the family's 1533-position model. The record is from RNAcentral.